AUGCACGCUGGCGGCGUGCCUAAUACCUGCAAGUCGAGCGAACGGACGAGAAGCUUGCUUUUCUGAUGUUAGCGGCGGACGGGUGAGUAACACGUGGAUAACCUACCUAUAAGACUGGGAUAACUUCGGGAAACCGGAGCUAAUACCGGAUAAUAUUUUGAACCGCAUGGUUCAAAAGUGAAAGACGGUCUUGCUGUCACUUAUAGAUGGAUCCGCGCUGCAUUAGCUAGUUGGUAAGGUAACGCCUUACCAAGGCAACGAUGCAUAGCCGACCUGAGAGGGUGAUCGGCCACACUGGAACUGAGACACGGUCCAGACUCCUACGGGAGGCAGCAGUAGGGAAUCUUCCGCAAUGGGCGAAAGCCUGACGGAGCAACGCCGCGUGAGUGAUGAAGGUCUUCGGAUCGUAAAACUCUGUUAUUAGGGAAGAACAUAUGUGUAAGUAACUGUGCACAUCUUGACGGUACCUAAUCAGAAAGCCACGGCUAACUACGU
RNAcentral lists this ribosomal RNA (495 nucleotides) under uncultured bacterium. RNAcentral describes it as "partial 16S ribosomal RNA". It matches the Rfam family "Bacterial small subunit ribosomal RNA", at positions 29 to 506 of the family's 1533-position model. The record is from RNAcentral.